GCUUCCUUGAUGGAAAUGGUAGACAUAACAGACUUAAAAUCUGUGGGCGACAAAGCCGUGCCGGUUCAAGUCCGGCAGGAAGCACCA
This 87-nucleotide transfer RNA is filed under the name Verrucomicrobiales bacterium. Its description in RNAcentral is "tRNA-Leu". It matches the Rfam family "tRNA". From Rfam's summary of the family: Transfer RNA (tRNA) molecules are approximately 80 nucleotides in length. Their secondary structure includes four short double-helical elements and three loops (D, anti-codon, and T loops). Lineage: Bacteria; Pseudomonadati; Verrucomicrobiota; Verrucomicrobiia; Verrucomicrobiales. The record is from RNAcentral.